UUUCCUUUCAGUUGUGUCAGUGGUUCUCAACUGGUCUGGCUUCAGGACCCACUGUCACCCCUCAGUGACAAGGCACGACUCAAACUGAUAACAGUGAAAUGUCCCACAUUUAUUUAAGAAAAAGAUGGUGUGUU
Molecule: long non-coding RNA, 134 nt
Organism: Sphaeramia orbicularis (orbiculate cardinalfish)
Lineage: Eukaryota; Metazoa; Chordata; Actinopteri; Kurtiformes; Apogonidae
Exons: 3
Source: RefSeq, a predicted model, not a curated record